UUUUCCCCGUGCAAUUUAGUGGCUAAAAUUAAACGCGAAAAAAGGAAUUUUUAUGGAACAGCUGUAUUCGCCAUUCUGUGGAAGCGAAGUGGAGGGGUAAAAACAAGAAAAAGAGAAGAAGGAGGUGGAAAAACAAGGCUCCUUUAGGCCUAAUCAUCAUUUCAGAAAACGGCAAUGAGAUCAACCAGUCAUGAUUUUGAAGCGUUCCCCAAUGAAUUCCGUAGACCUCUCCUAAACUGCGUCGUCCACUCUUAUAGAACUUUCCGUUGAGCAUACUUACCACCAUCCACCACCGUGAGUUUUAGAGCAUCUUUUGUUAUUCUUGUCGCUUGUGCUGAACUUAAGUGGCAAUGGUCCUGUUAGAGAAAAUGAAUCACCGGCUGUGCC
Molecule: long non-coding RNA, 387 nt
Organism: Drosophila subpulchrella
Lineage: Eukaryota; Metazoa; Arthropoda; Insecta; Diptera; Drosophilidae
Exons: 3
Source: RefSeq, a predicted model, not a curated record